UACGGGGGGGGUAAGCGUUGUUCGGAAUUACUGGGCGUAAAGGGCUCGUAGGCGGCCAACUAAGUCAGACGUGAAAUCCCUCAGCUUAACCGGGGAACUGCAUCUGAUACUGGAUGGCUUGAGUUCGGGAGAGGGAUGCGGAAUUCCAGGUGUAGCGGUGAAAUGCGUAGAUAUCUGGAGGAACACCGGUGGCGAAGGCGGCAUCCUGGACCGACACUGACGCUGAGGAGCGAAAGCCAGGGGAGCAAACGGG
This 253-nucleotide ribosomal RNA is filed under the name uncultured bacterium. RNAcentral describes it as "partial 16S ribosomal RNA". It matches the Rfam family "Bacterial small subunit ribosomal RNA", at positions 524 to 776 of the family's 1533-position model. The record is from RNAcentral.